Molecule: ribosomal RNA, 465 nt
Filed under: uncultured bacterium
Lineage: Bacteria
Description: partial 16S ribosomal RNA
Rfam family: Bacterial small subunit ribosomal RNA
Source: RNAcentral
CCUACGGGAGGCAGCAGUAGGGAAUCUUCCACAAUGGGCGAAAGCCUGAUGGAGCAACGCCGCGUGGGUGAAGAAGGUCUUCGGAUCGUAAAACCCUGUUGUUAGAGAAGAAAGUGCGUGAGAGUAACUGUUCACGUUUCGACGGUAUCUAACCAGAAAGCCACGGCUAACUACGUGCCAGCAGCCGCGGUAAAACGUAGGUGGCAAGCGUUAUCCGGAUUUAUUGGGCGUAAAGGGAACGCAGGCGGUCUUUUAAGUCUGAUGGGAAAGCCUUCGGCUUAACCGGAGUAGUGCAUUGGAAACUGGGUGACUUGAGUGCAGAAGAGGAGAGUGGAACUCCAUGUGUAGCGGUGAAAUGCGUAGAUAUAUGGAAGAACACCAGUGGCGAAAGCGGCUCUCGGGUCUGUAACUGACGCUGAGGUUCGAAAGCGUGGGUAGCAAACAGGAUUAGAUACCCGAGUAGUC